Molecule: unclassified non-coding RNA, 687 nt
Filed under: Hevea brasiliensis (rubber tree)
Lineage: Eukaryota; Viridiplantae; Streptophyta; Magnoliopsida; Malpighiales; Euphorbiaceae
Source: RNAcentral
UAGCCCUUUGAACUGUGAUUCAGGUAAGUCUAUCCAUGUUUAAUGCCUUCUGUUUUAACAUUUGGGAUUUAUUUCGAAGAGGAAAGCGCUUUUAAAUCUUCAUUUUGAAAAGGCAAGAAUUCCUUAACUCGGAACAUGUGUUGUACAAUGAUGUGAGUAUGAGGAUUGAAAAAAAUAUGUAUAUUUUUCAAAGAAUUAGUACAUCCAACAAGGCGAUGUUGAAACAAAAGGCAUAAAAAGAAAAUGAGAUGAUGACUAAUCGUUAAUGAAAGGCCCUAAAACAAUGAAGCUGUACUUUCUCAGCAUCUGUCUUUUUCGUUGCCUUUCCAAAUGUACUAGUCCUUUUUCCCUCAUCACCAGUAUUGCUGCUUUCUAGGGUUCUUAAGUAAAGUUACAGGCUCAGCAGAGAGGUAUAGUUAGGAAGGAGGUGGGAUUGUGAAGGCUUGGUAUUACCUCAGGCUUGUAUUUGAAGUACCAGUUGCAUUUACAAGACAAAAUCUGCAAUAGAACAUUGAGUCUAGUUCUUAAAGAAUGAAUUUUGUUGGAGAGCUAUGGGAUUGAGACAUUAACUAAGAGUUCUUCUUUGAGCUUUGACUAAUUAAAUAAGUAACUGUUACAUAUCAGACCUGCACAACUUACUGAAAUAGAGAAAUAGGGAGAGAAAGAGAUAGAAAUAGAUGAGAAAAG